AUGGCUGCCGCCGCCGCCAGGGCAGGCGGCCGCCCGUGGCGUGUGAUCCCGCGGCCGGUCAUGGAGACCGUCCUCCACAACCACGCCCUCCACCCGCGCGUGCCGCAGCCGCUGCUCCUCCACGGCCCCCGCGGCGUCGGCAAGUCCACGCUCCUCCUCAACCGCCUCCUCCCUCAGUGGUCCGAGCCCCCGCACUACGCUGCCUUCGUCGACUUCCUCCACCCCUCUCCCAGUUCCCCUGCUCAUGCGCCCUGGUCUCUCCUCUCAGACACGCCCCCCUCCCUGCCCUCCCUCCGCCUCCGGCUCGAGUCCGCGCUGGAGGAACUCACCCGCGCCGCAGUACUCCGAGGUGCCGUCGGUUCCAAGGACGUGCUCGCCGCGCUCUCACGGUCCCACGGCCUCCACACCGUGCUCUCUCGCCUCGCGGGCCCUGCCUCCCGCCGCGGCCAGGGCACUAACUCGGUUCCGGUGCUCUGGGCAAGGGCUGUCCUAGCUGCAACCUCCUCGGCCCGUGGUGACGACCCCACCUUCCGCAUUGGUGAGGGGGAGGCAACGAACUGCUCCAUGGAGGAGAGGGCGUACAUGCAGGAGGCCAUGGCGGCGCUGCGUGUGGCCAAGGAAGUUCUCGGGAUGCAGGAGGGGUGGAGGAAGGAGGCGGUGCGGGAGAUGAAUAGGACAGGCCGGUUCUCCCGUCCACUGGCCAAUUCGGCCACAGACUGGCCAUGCCUCUUGCUGGAUGUGUUGUCAGGCGCAGCCGAGGAGGAUUUUUUCCAGCCAAAGCUGGUGCUGAACAACGUUGAUGCCCUGAGGAAGGCGACAUGCGAGGACGAUACAAUGGUACCCGCAGCAGUGUACCAUGACAGCUUCAUUUGGAGGGUGAUAGCACUCGGUGCUAAUGAACAGUGCUUACCGGUCAUUAUGUCCACCUCAGAUGGAUACUAUUCUUCCCAAGCAUUCGUCGAUUUUGGUUUUCCUAAUAUCUUCAUUUCUCGUGAGACGUUUGGUUGGACACCACAAGAAGCUAAGCUGCAUAUGGUUUCUGAGUUCUUCAGUGAACAGGAGUGGAAAGUCGUUGAUGAGCUUCUUGGACCAAACCCACGACAAUUAUGUGAGAUAUAUAUGCUAAAGCAAAAGGCGAAUGACCCAGAGGUUUUGCAUGACACAAACAUUGAGGAAAUUAUUGACACAUACCUGGCACACUUGCAAGUAUCUGUUGUGAAUCCCGCAAUGCAAACAGCAUUAAGUAUGGUGCAGAAGUUUGCUUCUGAUGUACGCGAGGGUAAAGUACCAGAGAACAGAUUGUCUUUUGGUGCGCCUUGGAGACAUCCACGGGCUGACAAUCCUGACAUGUGCUAUAAGUGGGCAAAGAUUCAACUGAUGGAUUUUGUUCAGUCUUAUGUAAACACAGAAUUUGGGUUGAAUUACCUAGCAGAUGAUAGCCUGGAAAUAUUGGAUGAUCCUGCAGCAGUCGCCAUGAUGGAGGUUGGCUUACUUUAUCAACAGAGAGAUCCAUCCUUUGUGCGACCAAUCACACGUGGGAUUCAGCGUUGUCUUGCUAGAUGGUGCGUUCUUGAACUUAUGUGGUAUUGUAAAUGUUUUUUUUUCUUAUGGCACUUUUUUUGUGGUUAUGCGAAGGCUUGUUCAGCAGAGACUAGAGUUGACCCUUCAAGAAUCAAUAUCAUUCUCAUGGCAACGUGUAAUUCGUGGGCGAAGCUAUCGACACUUGAUGAAGGAAGUUGGCUACAAGUAACAAGUUUAUGCCAAGAAAAAACAGGUUAA
This 1779-nucleotide ribosomal RNA is filed under the name Triticum aestivum (bread wheat). Its description in RNAcentral is "partial small subunit ribosomal RNA". The record is from RNAcentral. Lineage: Eukaryota; Viridiplantae; Streptophyta; Magnoliopsida; Poales; Poaceae.